Molecule: ribosomal RNA, 345 nt
Filed under: uncultured bacterium
Lineage: Bacteria
Description: bacterial SSU rRNA
Rfam family: Bacterial small subunit ribosomal RNA
Source: RNAcentral
GGCCGCGGGAAUUCGACUCAGCCUUAACACAUGCAAGUGGAUCGGGAUCCAUCAAGCUUGCUUGGUGGUGAGAGUGGCGCACGGGUGAGUAAUGCGUGACCGACCUGCCCCAUACACCGGAAUAGCUCCUGGAAACGGGUGGUAAUGCCGGAUGUUCCAGUUGAUCGCAUGGUCUUCUGGGAAAGCUUUCGCGGUGUGGGAUGGGGUCGCGUCCUAUCAGCUUGACGGCGGGGUCACGCCCCCCCGUGGCUUCGACGGGUAGCCGGCCUGAGAGGGCGACCGGCCACAUUGGGACUGAGAUAUCGGCCCAGACUCCUUCGGGAGGCAGCAGUGGGGAAUAUUGCA